RNAcentral lists this ribosomal RNA (540 nucleotides) under uncultured bacterium. RNAcentral describes it as "partial 16S ribosomal RNA". It matches the Rfam family "Bacterial small subunit ribosomal RNA", at positions 355 to 889 of the family's 1533-position model. The record is from RNAcentral.
UGGGGAAUUUUGGACAAUGGGCGAAAGCCUGAUCCAGCAAUGCCGCGUGUGUGAAGAAGGCCUUCGGGUUGUAAACACUUUUGUCCGGAAAGAAAUCCUUGGCUCUAAUACAGUCGGGGGAUGACGGUACCGGAAGAAUAAGCACCGGCUAACUACGUGCCAGCAGCCGCGGUAAUACGUAGGGUGCAAGCGUUAAUCGGAAUUACUGGGCGUAAAGCGUGCGCAGGCGGUUUGCUAAGACCGAUGUGAAAUCCCCGGGCUCAACCUGGGAACUGCAUUGGUGACUGGCAGGCUAGAGUAUGGCAGAGGGGGGUAGAAUUCCACGUGUAGCAGUGAAAUGCGUAGAGAUGUGGAGGAAUACCGAUGGCGAAGGCAGCCCCCUGGGCCAAUACUGACGCUCAUGCACGAAAGCGUGGGGAGCAAACAGGAUUAGAUACCCUGGUAGUCCACGCCCUAAACGAUGUCAACUAGUUGUUGGGGAUUCAUUUCCUUAGUAACGUAGCUAACGCGUGAAGUUGACCGCCUGGGGAGUACGGUCGC